This 69-nucleotide transfer RNA is filed under the name Hippocampus sindonis (Dhiho's seahorse). Its description in RNAcentral is "tRNA-Gly". It matches the Rfam family "tRNA". From Rfam's summary of the family: Transfer RNA (tRNA) molecules are approximately 80 nucleotides in length. Their secondary structure includes four short double-helical elements and three loops (D, anti-codon, and T loops). Lineage: Eukaryota; Metazoa; Chordata; Actinopteri; Syngnathiformes; Syngnathidae. The record is from RNAcentral.
AUCUAUUUAGUAUUAAAAGUAUGAGUGACUUCCAAUCACCCGGCCUUGGUUAAAGUCCAAGAAAAGAUA